Molecule: long non-coding RNA, 843 nt
Organism: Thunnus maccoyii (southern bluefin tuna)
Lineage: Eukaryota; Metazoa; Chordata; Actinopteri; Scombriformes; Scombridae
Exons: 3
Source: RefSeq, a predicted model, not a curated record
UAAUUUGCUUUUUUAUUUUCAUAAGUGGUUUGUGUGUGUCAUAUUUAAAUUUCAUUGAAGUGUAAUUUGAGUUUAAAAAGGUAAUAAUGAUUCAAAAAAAAAAAAUUCUAAUUGGGAUUUAAAAUUAGUGAGUCAUAUGUUCCUGCUAAGUGGAGCCACCAUCAUUUAUUUAUAAUUCAUAGUUAGGUUAAAAAGUUUAAAAGCUAGUAAUUUAAUUUCUGUUACACAGGUUAGCACGGCCAGCCAAAGGAGCAAUCUGUGGUUUACUGGACAGUGUUAUGGCCAUUCAAUGACCUUCACCACCUGUGCUACAGCUUUUAAGAUUGAAGAUCUGCCAUUAUUUGCAACAUCACUGUCAUGUCACUCUUUCGGUGGCAGCAGAGUGCUUGAAUCCUGCUGCCAGGAUUUUUUUAAUACCCCCGCUGACCUCAAUGUAGUUGGAAUGGCAAAGUGGUGCUCUCUGUGAAGCAACUGCAGAAGAGACUGACUGACUGCAGUGAGCUAUCUUUCUUGUAGCCUAGCCCCGCACAUUCUGUAGUUGUAGUUGCACUUCAUGUUCGUCAUGUCUUAAUUCACUUUGCUUGUUUUGAAAUGCUACUGUUACAACUUAAAAGUUAUUUUGAGUUUGUAAAGACUGUUUUGUGUACACAUCUAGUAAUUAUUGUAAGUUAAAUAGUGUAAGUCUAACCCUGCAAGCUUUGCCAUUUUUCUAUGGGAUUUCCCAUUGUAUUGAUAUGUUGUUAGCAUCAUGCCAAGCAAGGAUUACUGUCCUGUCAGCCAGUUCAGUUUGUGACGUUAAGUGUCAUGUUGUGAAACAACUCUAUUAAAAUAAAUGUCUUGCAC